AAAAAAAAAAGGCUAGCCUACCAGUCUAGUUCCUUAAAUGCUUCCAAAACGGGAUGGUGCCUUCAUCUAUCUAGCCACCAAAUAGUUAGCAAGUAGCUAUGAUGUGCCCUUCGUAAAGCCAUGUCCGACUUGUGAGAAAGAACUAGUUUAGUUUAUAUCAAGAGUGCAUAGUUUACGAGCUUGCUAUUUCCUUGAGCAUCCGUGUGGCACUUGGAAACUUUGCUUACUUACAAUCGUCUCUUUCUUCUUCUUAUUACUAUUGUUAACCCUAUCAUAAAUUGACAAAUAAUGGAUUGACAGGUUUUAAAGCCUAAACCAUAAUUAAGCCGAACGAAGACCAAUAUGACCCAAUACGUUGC
RNAcentral lists this long non-coding RNA (359 nucleotides) under Elaeis guineensis (African oil palm). RNAcentral's name for it is "long non-coding RNA (EGUI_LNC003719)". The record is from RNAcentral. Lineage: Eukaryota; Viridiplantae; Streptophyta; Magnoliopsida; Arecales; Arecaceae.